UGUUUAUCAAAAACAUGGUCUUUUGUUUAUAUAAAAGGUCUGGCCUGCCCAAUGAAUUUUUAAUGGCUGCAGUAUUUUGACUGUACAAAGGUAGCAUAAUCAUUUGUCUUUUAAUUAAAGUCUGGAAUGAAUGGUUUGAUGAAAAAUUUACUUUCUUUAUUUUAGAAAAAUAAUUUGAUUUUUUGAUUAAAAAGUCAAGAUAAAAAUAUAGGACGAGAAGACCCUAUAGAACUUUAUUUCAAUGAAUAAAUAAUAUUUUGAUUAUUAAUUUUUAUUUUUUCUAAGGAAUUUUAUUGGGGUGAUAGAAAAAAUUUUAUAACUUUUUUUUAUUUUAUCAUUUAUAUAUGAUUUUUUUGAUCCUUUAUUAAGGAAAAAAGACUAAGUUACCUUAGGGAUAACAGCGUUAUUAUUUGGAGAGUUCAUAUCGAUAAAAUAGUUUGCGACCUCGAUGUUGGAUUAAAAUAAGUUUCAGGAGUAGAA
RNAcentral lists this ribosomal RNA (480 nucleotides) under Hypseloecus amyemopsis. RNAcentral's name for it is "partial 16S ribosomal RNA". It matches the Rfam family "Bacterial large subunit ribosomal RNA", at positions 1801 to 2560 of the family's 2925-position model. Lineage: Eukaryota; Metazoa; Arthropoda; Insecta; Hemiptera; Miridae. The record is from RNAcentral.